This 1426-nucleotide small RNA is filed under the name Pongo abelii (Sumatran orangutan). RNAcentral's name for it is "retained intron". Lineage: Eukaryota; Metazoa; Chordata; Mammalia; Primates; Hominidae. The record is from RNAcentral.
AGCGCCCCGGUCCCCGCCGCAGCCGCUGCAUCCUCCGUGCUCGGCCUGAGCCGGAGUCCCCCGCGCCCCCCGCGUCCCGCCCGGCCAUGGCUGCGGUGGCGCUGAUGCCACCGCCGCUGCUGCUGCUGCUGCUGCUGGCAUCUCCGCCCGCCGCCUCCGCGCAGUCCGCCCGCGAUCCCUUCGCCCCCCAGCUCGGGGACACGCAGAACUGCCAGCUGCGGUGCCGCGACCGCGACCUCGGCCCGCGGCCCUCGCAGGCGGGGCUGGAGGGCGCCUCCGAGUCUCCCUAUGACAGAGCCGUUCUGAUCAGCGCUUGCGAGCGUGGCUGCCGCCUCUUCUCCAUCUGCCGAUUUGUGGCCAGGAGCUCCAAGCCCAAUGCCACCCAAACUGAGUGUGAAGCAGCCUGCGUGGAAGCCUAUGUGAAGGAGGCAGAGCAGCAGGCCUGUAGCCACGGCUGCUGGAGCCAGCCCGCGGAGCCUGAGCUGGAGCAGAAGAGAAAGGUCCUGGAGGCUCCAAGUGGGGCCCUCUCCCUCUUGGACUUGUUUUCCACCCUCUGCAAUGACCUCGUCAACUCAGCCCAGGGAUUUGUCUCCUCCACCUGGACAUACUACUUGCAGACUGACAAUGGGAAGGUGGUGGUGUUUCAGACUCAGCCCGUAGUGGAGAGCCUCGGCUUCCAGGGGGGCCGUCUGCAGCGCGUGGAGGUGACCUGGCGAGGCUCCCACCCUGAAGCCCUGGAGGUGCACGUGGGUAAGGUGCAACCUAGACCAGUGUUCCUUCCAUGGGUGGCCCCACUGCCACAAGGAGUCGGCCUGGCAAACAGACCCUCUAGGAUUGGGAUCUCCAUCUCUCAAGUCCUGGGUUCCACGGCUCAUCCCCCAGGGCUCCAAGGUCCAUUUCCCAGGGUUCCAUGGUCCAUCUACCAAGGAUCCGUGGUCCACCUCCCAGGGUUCCGUGGUCCACCUCCCAGGAAUCCAUGGUUCACUUCCCAGGGUUCUGUGGCCCAUCUCCCUGGGUUCUGUGACCCAUCUCCCAGGGUUCCAUGGUCCAUCUCUCAGAGUUCCAUGGGUUCAUCUCCUAGGGUCAUCUCCUAGGGUCCAUCUCCCAGGGUUCUUUGGUCUAUCGCUCAGGGUUCCAUGGUUCAUCUCCUAGGAUUCUGCAGUUCAUCUCCCAGGGUUCUGUGGCCCAUCCCCCAGGGUUCUGCAGUCCAUCUCCCAGGGUUCCAUGGUCCAUUUCCCAGGGUUCCAUGGUCCAUCUCCCAGGGUUCCGUGUUCCAUCUCCCAGGGUUCCAUGUUCCAACUCCCAGGGUUCCAUGGGUUCAUCUCCUAGGGUCAUCUCCUAGGAUCCAUCUCCCAGGGUUCCAUGGGUUCAUCUUCUAGGGUCAUCUCCUAGGGUCCAUCUCCCAGAGUUCUUUGGUCUAUCUCUC